UGGCUCGGACUCUCUGAGAGUCACGAGCUUUUGUUAUCAUUCUUCUCCUGUCCUUUCUAGCCUUCUGAUAGAUCCUUUUCUCCCUAUUCCUUUUAGUAUAGUUUUAGUAUAGCAUUUUAAUAUAACAUAUAAUAAAUCAGCAUUCUGAAACAUGGAGUCAAGAUUCACAUCUCUUCCCUCAUCCUGGCACCCUCAAACAUCACCAUACUUGAUCAAAGUUACAAUCAUUUUUUCUGGUUCAGAAAUUGCUCGACUGUAAUAUGCAUGCCCUUUUCUCUAAUAGGGCAAAGAUAUACACAAAGCUCUGUUCCUGAGGAAGAGCAGGCAAUGCUGAAUAGGAGCACCUUAUGAUCAAAGGAAACUUUUUGAUGACACAAACUGGUGUUUUUGAUAUGUCUGUGUUUUAUAACUGAGUAUACGUUGUCCUUACUUACAUGAAACUAAAGAUUUUGUACUUUCUUAGAGUGGAAAAGCAAAAUACAUUCAUAGAACUGUAACAUAAGUAAAAAUAAAUUAAAAACCCAGCGAUUUCAGCCGCGGCCACGAGAUGGCGCUGCGAGCCCUCGCACGGCGCCUCGGCCCGGCCAGGGCCCGGGCUCUGCGAGCGCCUCCCGCGCCACGCCGAAAGGCAGGCGCCGAGGAGAGGAAACACGAGCGUCCUUUCCUUCGGCGGGAUGAGUACAUUUGGCCGCUGCUGAGCUGAGGCGCUGUACGGGCCGUGCCCAGGCACUCGCUGGAGGAGAGGGGCACGACCCCGCCGCUUUGGGCCCGGGACCCCCGGCGCGGCGGGGCAGGAGCCGCAGCGCAGCUCCCGACACGGAGCACCAAAGGGAAAGCGCUCCUCCAGAGUGCUUCCCACGCCGUGUGGCGGCUGCCGGGAAAACAGAACCCUGUCGGCUUUGCCCCACAGGUACCGCUCGAACCGUGCCCACACCCCAGUGCAGGAACCCGCGUCAGGCGGGCACUGCGGGAGAGCCUGGGCCCGGCUGCGGCGGGACCGAGUCCUCGUCAGCCUCCUGCCCGGCCUGGGGAGCCACAAACUUCCCACCGCCUUCGAGCGAGAGCUCUGCCAACCCGCGGAGAUACAUCCCCAGCGACACCAGCUUGGUAGCCAUCGAUGAGGACGGGGGUGCCGAACUCAGGGUCUAAAGCUGAGUGCCCGUAUCGGGAAAUUUAACCUUCAAGCACCUCUUCCUCACCUCGUGCGCUUGGAUUGAUUCUGCCUUUUGUCCGCCGUGUCUGUCGCAGAGCACAGACACCAUUCAGGGCAGAGCCUGGCUGCUGUUAUUGUGUCUGCACAGUACUACACAACACCGGGCACACUUGCUGCUCUCACAUUGUUAAAAUAUUCAGUAAUACAGAUAUGUACAUAUAUAUAUAUAUAAUUCAGUAAUAUCAAUGGACAAAGCUAAAUUGUAAUACUUAGAUCUGUGCAUUUGCCUUAAGGGUGGCUGUUGAUUAAUUGUGUUCCUUGAAAAUGAAACUUAUGGAGCACAAAUUUAGUAAUUUUAUUUGACAGGUCUUUUUAAAAAGGACUGUGUGUACAGUUUACCCAUCCUUUGGAAAUGUGAUUCUUUUGGGUGCCCUGGAGCAAUGAAGGGAGCAGGACUCCUAGUUUCAGGGUUCCACGACAAAGCCAGUUGCCACCUGCUUUCACCACAAGCAACCUUCAGCCUUGUUUGCAGCAGCAGCAGCAAGAGCUAUCCUGCCCCCUGACAAAUCAUUCCCCUGUGUGCCACCUGGCUCAUUCUUAACACUAGGCUAUGUCUGCAAGGGGAGAAAGUGGAGUGGGGUUCACAUCACCCACCCACUGGUACCCUCAACUAAAACGUUUGCUGGGACUGCUGCCCUGGAAGAAAAUUGUGUAAUGUUGCACCUACUGCUGGGAAGGGUCUCCCCUCUCUGGAGCAAAGGACUACAUGAACUGGAAGCAUUUCAUUGCAUGCAUCUGUACCACUGUUGGAGCAUGUUUGUUGCAUGCCAGCAGUGGAAGUCUUAACCAAACCUGAAAGAAGUUUAACCAUCAGCCUAGUCACCUAGUGAGAAACUUCAUCUGCUGUUAAUAUUAUUUCAGGCUUCAAUAGUGAAGAUCGAGCCUUUGUGUUACAACUAAAAUUUUAUUUACUCAAUCACUAGUUUUCUUAGAGUUAAUGUAAAAAUCACUGUUUCAGUAAAGAAGACUUUUCUGGGUUUCUACUUUACUAAUCUUCAGCAGCACUUCAGUAUCUGACAGGGGGAGUGUUUGAUGUUAAUUAUAUUUUGAUGAGUGCAUAAUCAUGUAAAAAUUUGCUUUUAUGCACAGUCUUCUAUGUGAGUUUAUGUUUUUGAAAUAUGAACCUAAGCAAGGAAGAAAAUAAACCUUUACAGUCUUCAGAGUUAUGAUCUGAUUGUCAUAGAACAAAGUACCUUGUCAUUUCCCGCUACAUGGCUUUUCCAUAUAACUCUACCUUUGCAGCAUUUACUUUGUUAUACCUGAUUGAGUAUAUUACUACAAAGUGUUAUUUAUCCAGCCCAACAUUUGUUCCAAGAAGAAAUGGUAAAUAUUAUGGGCUAAACAUAGCUUUCAGAAAUGUAAGCCUGAACUCAAACAUUUGUGACAUCAAUGGCCUCUGAAGCAAAGCAGAAAUGGAUUCUGGAUCCAGCAAGAGGAGUAAAGUUGGGCUUCUAUCCAUAGAGUUUCUAUCCUUACUAAGCUGCCACUUAAAAUGUCCAGAUCUGGAGGGAGGAAAUGUAAUGAACUGAAUUUGCUUCCUCAGCUGGAAUAGUUUUGGCACAUAUAUCUGAAGACCUGUUUAGCUGUGAGGGAGCUAACCAAUGGCUGAGAUUAUGCACAUCUGUCAGUUAAACCAAAGAUCCCAAGGCUAAAUGCAACAUUCAGGGGCAACACGUAGGCCAAUGAAUUUUAUGGAAGACAGUGUCUAGAGACCGAUGAGCAGCUCUCUUGCAUCCACAUACUAUAAAACUGUACGUAAUUGUUCUCAUUUUAGUAACAGCUUUCAGAAAAUUACUGUUAGGAAUACAGAAGAAACAUUUUAUACCAGUGACCUUAAAAUUGUAGUACAGAGAUCUAAUUUUGUUUUCCAGUCAUUUAUGCCAUGAAAGUAAAGAGUAUCUAUUUUAAGAUAAAAGAAUGCAAUAUAUAGGAAAAAGAUGCUUUUCCUUAUAAAAAAAAUUAAUUUAUUUUCAAAACCCAUGGGUGUGCUGUUCUUUUUUAAAUACAAUGCAGGUCUUAAUGCUUACUUUUAUAAUUUUGUUACUCUGUGUAUUUUGUGACUUCAAAUGCUUUAAGAGGAUAACAUGAGCUGUCUACACAUCUCUGUAUGUGUCAUUCAGCCAGUAUGUGCAUAAUUUUUUUCUAUCUACAUGGUUUUAUUCUCAAAAUUGUAAAAUAUUACAGAGAAAUUAUAAGCCUGCAAGUAAUUUACAGCCAUCUCAUUUCUGGCUUAUACAUUCCUAAACAAUUCUUUCUGGCACAGAUGGUAACAUCAUAACUUCAGAUCUCAUUGCCAUCCAUUGCUGUGGCUGUUCCUGGGUGUGGGAAGAAGUGAUGAUUAGCUAAGACAAAACUUGCUGUUCACAACAUCUUGAAAUUUUGUUUUUAUUGAUGAUAAAAACGACUUCCAAAUAAAAUGAAGAUUUUAAUGGGAAA
This is a long non-coding RNA of Passer domesticus (house sparrow), 3649 nucleotides long. RefSeq lists it as uncharacterized. The transcript has 3 exons. The record is from RefSeq and is a predicted model, not a curated record. Lineage: Eukaryota; Metazoa; Chordata; Aves; Passeriformes; Passeridae.